CCAACAUCUUGGCCCAAAGAAGGUCACUUUUUGAGCAACUAGGUUAAUAUAUUUGACUUUUGAGUCUUAUACUGAUCUAACUCGUCUCCUAGAUAGAGUUAGAGGAUGCGAGUGAUUAGAUACAAUUUCUGCUGACUACCUUUCCAGUGCUAGGAGUAAAGACUGACAGUCAAACUGCCCAAGUUCAAGUCCUGGCUUAACUUCCUCAUUAGUGCUCUUUGACCUCUCUAAAGUGUAGAAUCCAAGUCUCAGAUGGAGGAAGCCAUAGCCCCUACUGUAGAGAGCUGUGGAGCAAUACAUGAGCAGCAAUGUUGGUUAUAGUCAUCAUUAGCAUUCUCUUGGGAUGAGCCUUCUGGAGUCCUGAAUGGGAAGGUACCCUCUCAGAUAUGCACCUGAAAUGCUGGUGAGUGGAUUUGGAAACCAGAGGAGGAGGGAGCAAGCCUGACAAUCUAUUAUGAAAACUGAGAAGUCAAACCAGUGCUCACACCGGCAUGGUAGGUAACCUGCCUCUGUAUGGAGCCAGGCUUUGGAGCCACCUGCAGUCAAGCACCUUGAAAGAACAGUCCUUAGAAAGGAGGAAUACCCACCAUUUGCUUCAACGUGGAUGGAACUGGAGGGUAUUAAUACUGAGUGAACUUACCUCAACUCAGGCAAAUGAAACCUGAAAACACCCCUCAGGUGAUGGUGACUGCCCUGACAAGACCCCCUGUCGGCCCAGACCACCCAGACCUUUUGAGCUAAAAGCCCAACUCAUGCUUGCACAGAUGGACCAUGGAGUGACCCCUGGAAUGACCUACCACUACCUUUUCAUCAUCAAUACUAAAAUCUCAUGGGAUCCCUGCGUGGCACAGCGGUUUGGCGCCUGCCUUUGGCCCAGGGCGCGAUCCUGGAGACCCGGGAUCGAAUUCCACAUCGGGCUCCUGGUGCAUGGAGCCUGCUUCUCCCUCUGCCUGUG
Molecule: long non-coding RNA, 955 nt
Organism: Canis lupus familiaris (dog)
Lineage: Eukaryota; Metazoa; Chordata; Mammalia; Carnivora; Canidae
Exons: 3
Source: RefSeq, a predicted model, not a curated record